Molecule: ribosomal RNA, 255 nt
Filed under: uncultured bacterium
Lineage: Bacteria
Description: partial 16S ribosomal RNA
Rfam family: Bacterial small subunit ribosomal RNA
Source: RNAcentral
UACAGAGGGUGCGAGCGUUGUCCGGAAUCACUGGGCGUAAAGGGCGCGUAGGUGGUGGCUUAAGCGUGCGGUGAAAGCUCGGGGCUCAACCCCGAGUCGGCCGUGCGAACUGGGCUCACUGGAGCAUAGUAGAGGCAGGUGGAAUUCCGGGUGUAGCGGUGGAAUGCGUAGAGAUCCGGAAGAACACCGGUGGCGAAGGCGGCCUGCUGGGCUAUGGCUGACACUGAGGCGCGAAAGCGUGGGGAGCAAACAGGG